GAGAGGCGCCUCCGCCGCUCCUUUCUCAUGGAAAUGGCCCGGGAGCCCGGCCGUCGCGGCGCCCCUCCCGCGGGAAAAAAGGCGAGCCCCGGCCCCCGGUGGCCCCUCGCUCCGCGGACAAAUCCGGUGAACAAUGCGCCCGCCCAGAGGGCGGCCCAGCUGCUGGGCCGGGGAUCUGGCCGCGGGACACAAAGGGGCCCGCAUGCCUAGGACGUCACGAGAAGGGUGGGGGCGACCGCGGGGGAGAAUGUGGCCACCCGGCCCCUGACCACGUGUGUCCGCAGCUCUGAGUGCUCGAGAUCCCGAAGAGGGAGACGAGGGCCAGAAGACAAAGGGAGGGGCUGGGGAAGCGGCGGGCUGAGGGGCGCGGGAGGGAAGUGUGCAGCUUCCCGGGUUGUGUUGGCGCGUCGGGCUACCCACGGGCAGUCCUGGGCGCUGUCCUCGGUGCUGGCCGUGGAGUCACCCAGAGAGACGGGGCGCUAAUGCGCUUGGGGCGAAGGGUCCUGAGUAUCACUGUUCCCAUCUAGGGAGCCCUGGAUAGUUGCCGCAGCACCCCCAGAGAAAUAGGGUAGGGUCUGGGGUCACUGCAGUCUGUCCCCUGGGCGCUCUGGUUGGGGGUCGCAGGAUGAAGGCGGUGAUCACUUUAAUUUUGAAGAAACCCCUGAACCUUAGGUUGAGGUUUAAGAUGUGGAAGUGGGGCAUCUGCAUCUGCACCUAAGGUCUAAAUCUGGGUGGAUACACUGGACCGCAUCCCGCCCUCAAACCUCUCUCCAGCUAUGCGGGACGCGAGGCACGUGAGGCUCUGCAGCCCAGAGAGAAAAUGACAAAUCCUCCUCCUCCCUCCCCCCACCACCAUCUGCAGCCGCAGUGACACCCACUCAGGUCUGCUGCAGGCAUUUUUUUUUUUUUCUGUCCUCGGCAGCCAGCGCCACCUGCUGGCGUCCUGGUAUGAGACUCUGCUCUGGCAUGUCUCCUCCCAGCACGGUUUCUGAUCCCCAAGGUUACAGGCCCUAUUCCCUAGGGCAGUGGUUCUCAACCUUCAGAAUGCUGCUACCCUUUAAUACAGUUCUUCAUGUUGUGGUGACCCCUCAACCAUAAAAUUAUUUUCGUUGCUA
This 1115-nucleotide long non-coding RNA is filed under the name Mus pahari (shrew mouse). RNAcentral describes it as "lncRNA (MGP_PahariEiJ_G0005635.1)". Lineage: Eukaryota; Metazoa; Chordata; Mammalia; Rodentia; Muridae. The record is from RNAcentral.